Molecule: ribosomal RNA, 1395 nt
Filed under: Occidozyga laevis
Lineage: Eukaryota; Metazoa; Chordata; Amphibia; Anura; Dicroglossidae
Description: partial 16S large subunit ribosomal RNA
Rfam family: Bacterial large subunit ribosomal RNA
Source: RNAcentral
GCUAGCUAUUAAGCCUUCAAACCACCCUAAAAUAAAUCUACCUCAACUACCAUAAAAUAAAACAUUUUACUGCUUAAGUAAAGGCGAUUAAAAAACCUCUAAGAGCUUUAAUUCUAGUACCGCAAGGGAAAGAUGAAAUAUAAAUGAAAUAAAAUAAAGCAUAAAAUAAUAGAGAUCAAAACUCGUACCUUUUGCAUCAUGGUCUAGCAAGUCAUUAUCAAGCAUAGGGACACUCAAGUUUGAUUCCCCGAAACUAGGCGAGCUACUUCAAAACAGCAUCUAGAGCCAACCCGUCUCUGUGGCAAAAGAGUGGGAAGAUUUUCAAGUAGAGGUGAUAAGCCUACCGAGCCUAGAGAUAGCUGGUUAUUCAAGAAAAGAAUUUUAGUUCUACCUUAGGCACCCCCAUGAAUACAAACAAAACACUGUACUUAAGAGCUAUUCAAAUAAGGAACAGCUUAUUUGAAAAAGGAUACAACCUAGAUUUUAGGGUAAGACCCACAACAUAAAAUUAAUAAAGUAGGCCUAAAAGCAGCCAUCUUUAAAAAAGCGUUAAAGCUUAAUCUUUAGUGCACUAAAUUCCCCAUCUCACCACGAACCCAUCAUUAGUAUUGAAUAAACUCAUAAACUAUGAGAAUUAUUAUGCUAGAACUAGUAACAAGAAAAUGAAUUUCUCCAAAGCGUAAGCAUAAGUCAACAUGGACCACCCACUGACACAUAACGGUGCUGAAUCAACUAUAGUAAAACACCUAGAAAACUCUAUACCCCCCACCAUGCCGUUAACCUUACACAAGAACCCUUCUGGAAAGAUUAAAAGGAAGAGAAGGAACUCGGCAAAUAUUGGCCCCGCCUGUUUACCAAAAACAUCGCCUCUUGAUUAAAUAUAAGAGGUCCAGCCUGCCCAGUGUUCUAUAUCAACGGCCGCGUGAUUUAAGCGCGCGAAGGUAGCAUAAUAAUUUGUCCUUUAAAUGUGGACUAGUAUCAACGGCACCACGAGGGCCAUACUGUCUCCUCCCCCCAAUCAGUGAAACUAAUCUCCCUGUGAAAAAGCAGGGGUAAAACUAUAAGACGAGAAGACCCCAUGGAGCUUAAAACACAGCAUUAAUUCUAAUAACACCAUCAGUACAAUUUUAAAUAAUACAUGCUAGUUUUAGGUUGGGGUGACCGCGGAGUAAAACAAAACCUCCACAACGAAUAAGAGAUUAUCUCCUUAUCCAAGAGGCACUUCUCUAAGAAUUAUCUAAUAUAACGUCUAAUGACCCGACUAUCGAUCAACGGACCAAGUUACCCUGGGGAUAACAGCGCAAUCCGCUUUGAAAGCUCCUAUCGACAAGCGGGCUUACGACCUCGAUGUUGGAUCAGGGUAUCCCAGUGGUGCAGCCGCUACUAAAGGUUGUU